GGAGAGGUGGCAGAGUGGUCGAAUGCACCGGACUCGAAAUCCGGCAUAGCCUUAUGGGUUAUCGUGGGUUCAAAUCCCACCCUCUCCGCCA
This 91-nucleotide transfer RNA is filed under the name Novimethylophilus kurashikiensis. RNAcentral's name for it is "tRNA-Ser". It matches the Rfam family "tRNA". Rfam says of the family: Transfer RNA (tRNA) molecules are approximately 80 nucleotides in length. Their secondary structure includes four short double-helical elements and three loops (D, anti-codon, and T loops). The record is from RNAcentral. Lineage: Bacteria; Pseudomonadati; Pseudomonadota; Betaproteobacteria; Nitrosomonadales; Methylophilaceae.